RNAcentral lists this long non-coding RNA (1399 nucleotides) under Olea europaea (common olive). RNAcentral's name for it is "long non-coding RNA (OEUR_LNC012321)". Lineage: Eukaryota; Viridiplantae; Streptophyta; Magnoliopsida; Lamiales; Oleaceae. The record is from RNAcentral.
ACUUCAAUCUUGGUUAAGCAGAUCAUGGGCCCACCUAAGGCAUAAAGAACAAAACUCACCAGUAUAAUGAUCAACAAAAGCACAAUGGAUUCAUUCUGUAGGCGGCCUGAUUUUGAAUCAAUCGGUUAUAUCACUUGAUGCUGAAAUAAAGCUACUGAAAGAGGCUCACUGGCCUGAAACUUUGGCCAGCCAAAAAGAAGUCCUAAUCUUAUAUGACCAGCAAACAACUUAGGGAUCUAAACUUUCAACAGCCAAAAAGAAGUCCUAAUCUUAUAUGACCAGCGAACAUCUUAGAUGUUGCCCCGCUCUAAGUUGUUCAGAGCACUUACAGUGAUAUAAUAAGGGACAACAUGGCUCUGGUUGUUCAUUGACUCAUGAUAGAUUCCUUCCAGAGGUAGUAACUCUCUGUUCAACCUUCCUCCACCGUUCUCUUCUUAGUGCAAGACUCAAAAAGUAGGUUAAUGGGAUGAGGUUCAUGUCAAGACUGGCCAAUUUCUCACCAGGUUCAUUUUCUUUAAUUUCGAAUGGGAAAUAUUCCAUGCAACGGAAUACAAAUGCUCCAAGUUUCCCAGUUGAAGAAUCAGUAAUUAUGUACCGAGGAGAGGACCAGACUUCGAUUUCCACAUGUCAUUCACAUAAUUGGAAUCACAUGAAUAGAAAAAGUGGGCCUUCUUAUAUGAAGAUGUCACUACGUAAUUAUUACACAAUUAAUACCAACUAAUUUUACCUUUCUCGACUUGUUUCUAGUCACAGCCAAAAGAUCCAGUCCACAUGGCAGUUUGACAUCAUAUUUAUAGGCUUGACUAUGAUGAUUCAAACAUUCAGAAAUAAGUAUCACUGCCAUAGUGAACAAAGCUUAAAACACUCUUGAAAUGCUCAUUACGGCUAAUACUGAGAAAAUUACAAAGUAAACAACUUUAAACCGGACAAAAUAGAGGUGGAUGUUAGUUGAUCAAUCCACAUUUCCUAAUAAGAUUGUCAAUUCAAUGUAAGUGUCGAUGCUACAAUGAACAAUGCGUAACACACUCUUGAAAUGCUCAUUAUGGCUAAUACUGAGAAAAUUAUAAAACUAACAACUUUAAACCAGACCCAAUGGAUGUGAAUAUACAUUUCCUAAUAAGAUUGUCAAUUCAAUGCAAUGAAACUUUUAUCAACUAACAUUUCUCAAUGAAAACCAGGUUGCAGUAUAUAACAUGACCAUAGUUUUUUUCCCGAUAGAACUACGUGAAUUUUGAAAUUACUCUUCAUUUCCUUUUACAAUAUAAAGCACAUUGUAUUAUAUGAUAUAAAGUGUAAACAUAAAAGAGAAGCAAACUGAAUGAGCGGUAAAGCUAAAGAAAAAGAAUUAAAGCUGCAGAACCAACAUACUUUAGCCCAGGUCGUCUCUUGCCUGCCCUCC